AGGUCAGACCACCCUUUUUGGAGGGUCUGUGUCGUGUAAUUGCAGCUUUCACUCUGCUAAGCCUGCUCUGCAGCAUCCUCCUCCUGUGACCCAGCACUCUAUGGCUGCACCAUCUACUUCUGCUGAUACAGCUCCAGCCGCACGGUCUUUCUUGAGGGUCCCUCUGUCUUUGUCCAUGUUCACUAAAUCCCGUUUUGGUGGGUCUCUGUCGGAUUCACUGAAGCCCAACUUGGUGGCCCGGAAAAAACCUACCCCGUCUCAGUCCUCUGUGAGGACCUCUAACCCGUCUCCGUCCUCUGUGAGGACCUCUACCCC
Cyprinodon tularosa is the source of this 315-nucleotide long non-coding RNA. RefSeq lists it as uncharacterized. The record is from RefSeq and is a predicted model, not a curated record. The transcript is spliced from 3 exons. NCBI's taxonomy places the organism in Eukaryota, Metazoa, Chordata, Actinopteri, Cyprinodontiformes, Cyprinodontidae.